Molecule: ribosomal RNA, 732 nt
Filed under: uncultured bacterium
Lineage: Bacteria
Description: bacterial SSU rRNA
Rfam family: Bacterial small subunit ribosomal RNA
Source: RNAcentral
UGCAGUCGUACGCUUCUUUUUCACCGGAGCUUGCUCCCCGGAAAAAGAGGAGUGGCGAACGGGUGAGUAACACGUGGGUAACCUGCCCAUCAGAAGGGGAUAACACUUGGAAACAGGUGCUAAUACCGUAUAACAAUCGAAACCGCAUGGUUUUGAUUUGAAAGGCGCUUUCGGGUGUCGCUGAUGGAUGGACCCGCGGUGCAUUAGCUAGUUGGUGAGGUAACGGCUCACCAAGGCCACGAUGCAUAGCCGACCUGAGAGGGUGAUCGGCCACAUUGGGACUGAGACACGGCCCAAACUCCUACGGGAGGCAGCAGUAGGGAAUCUUCGGCAAUGGACGAAAGUCUGACCGAGCAACGCCGCGUGAGUGAAGAAGGUUUUCGGAUCGUAAAACUCUGUUGUUAGAGAAGAACAAGGAUGAGAGUAACUGUUCAUCCCUUGACGGUAUCUAACCAGAAAGCCACGGCUAACUACGUGCCAGCAGCCGCGGUAAUACGUAGGUGGCAAGCGUUGUCCGGAUUUAUUGGGCGUAAAGCGAGCGCAGGCGGUUUCUUAAGUCUGAUGUGAAAGCCCCCGGCUCAACCGGGGAGGGUCAUUGGAAACUGGGAGACUUGAGUGCAGAAGAGGAGAGUGGAAUUCCAUGUGUAGCGGUGAAAUGCGUAGAUAUAUGGAGGAACACCAGUGGCGAAGGCGGCUCUCUGGUCUGUAACUGACGCUGAGGCUCGAAAGCGU